UGUCAUGUUUGGAUAGAAAGAAGAGGUGCAGAUGGAAGUCCCAUCCCCCAUUUCUGUUUCCCAGUCCAUCUCACCGUCUCCUUUGGAAACUGAAGGCAACACAGCGAUUAUUAGUUCACCAAAGGCAACAUCUGAGUACCCAAUCAUAUGCCUUGAGCCACUGGAGGCAAAGAGCUGUGGGGCAGAUGAUCUCUCGGAUGGGGUUCAGUCCAUGGAUGUCAGUCCAGUGUCCAGAGACGAGCUCGUUCCAGAAUAUUCCCCCAUCAGCGAGAUCUCACAGAACAGCAUGACUUCUGUGGCAUUGGGCGAUAUCCACAUUCUGACGGGGCAGGUCUCGCAUCCCAAAGUGUCUGCUGCUCCAGGUUUUGGUGACUGCAACAAGAACCUGAUCCAGGAUUGCAGUAGCGCUGCUAUUGACUCAUCACUUUUCCAGAGUCUCAGACAAGUCUCAGACUCCUCAGACAAGCUCAACAUCUAAUGCAAAGACACUAUUGAAGCAUGGGGCUGGAGUGCACUGAUGAAUUGGAGUUGAGCUGAAAGAUGAGAACAGCCCUUUGUGCCUCAGCAGCUUCCUGAAUAUCCUCUAAACAGAAGAACAGGGACUGAAUGUCAAAUCAUGUGUUAAUAGCAAAGAAGGGACAACCUGACAGUUGAUUCCCCCACACAUAAAAUAAAGUCCGCCUGAUCUUCGUAGAUAUUAUAUUUCACACCAUUUCAGCUUAGUAUCACCAGACAAAGCAACUGUAUUAGCGCAGUCCUAGUGGUCUUCUUAUUCUUGUUAUACACCUGUAGCAUUGAAGAGUGAUACACCGUGACAAUUGUAGCAGCUCCAUUGUGUAAUUUGUUUUAUUUUGGGUUGCAUAAAUGACCAGCAAACCGAGCAGUUAUGUGCUGAGUCUGCUAAUUGUGCUGUACUGUAUGGCUGGGUUUGCAAACAGUAUAUUGUGUAAAUCCAUUACUUCUCCGCGUCGUCUCUGCAAUCCAAGCUUUGUAGUCUGAAAGUGGAUAUGAAUAGAUGUAAAGUGUGAUAUUAUUCCACCAUAACACUGUUAUACUGGCAUUAAUGUAUUAUUAGUCAACAGCAGUUAGACGUUAUGGGGACGUAUACAGAAUAAAAGUGUACUUCUGAUGUAAUUUAUUGUGUAAAAGUUUAAAAAGGGACUUAAAAGUGCACAAUUUCAUUGUGUUAAAUAGCAUAGUGCUUUUAAUUCUUCAUAGACUUUUUCUGUAUUGUUUUGUUAUAUGACAUGAUUGCACACAGCUCUAUGCAGAUCAAGAAAACCAAGCAACCAUAAGAGCAACACAAAUCAAGGUAAUUCAGCGUCCCUACAAAUGUACAGCAGUGACUCAAAAGAUCUGUACUUCCUGAGUAUGUUGCUUAAAAUACUCUAUCAUCUUGUAUACUCAGGGUGCUAGUGCGCUUUGCAUGCGAGUUCAGUUCCUUUGAUGUUUGGUGGUGAUAUGAUGCUGUAGUGUAAAACUUCAGAUGUGCUGGAUUGCUUCAGGACCAAUAAGAAACACAUUUCUUGAAAGAUGGACGUAUCUAUCUGUCUGUCUGUCUGUCUGAACUUGGGAUGUUGAUUACAUUUGUGAUUGUACAGAGAGUGAUGGGUUAAUACUGUAAUUCAGCACUUCAAAAUGGCAUUUGAGAAAAGGUGCAUGAAUCAGCUGCUUUGAAGUUGCCGAAUCUUGAGAUAAUGACAUUACAAUAAAACAUGUAUCACACCAUGAUCUUUCCU
Molecule: long non-coding RNA, 1739 nt
Filed under: Sinocyclocheilus grahami
Lineage: Eukaryota; Metazoa; Chordata; Actinopteri; Cypriniformes; Cyprinidae
Description: lncRNA (ENSSGRG00000052416.1)
Source: RNAcentral